Molecule: long non-coding RNA, 2758 nt
Filed under: Cricetulus griseus (Chinese hamster)
Lineage: Eukaryota; Metazoa; Chordata; Mammalia; Rodentia; Cricetidae
Description: lncRNA (ENSCGRG00015036062.1)
Source: RNAcentral
UCCAGAAGAUAUGUGGGAAUGGUUACAUCUGGAAAAGUGGGAGCACUCACCCGUAACCCAAGCAUCAGCAUCAGCAUCUGGGAUGUACCCUGCUCCACUGUCCGUGUAGCUGUGAGAAGCCUACAAGCUAGGCUGUCAGCGGGGUGGAGACAUGCUAGCAGCGCCUCCUCAGGGAGUUAGGGAAGGGCCCAGGUCCAUCGAGAAGUUGACGUGUGAGAUGUUGCUUUUGGUCACGGUGUUUCGUCACGGCGAUAGAAGUGGAUGGUGUCGCAGAAAUGGAUGGUGACCGGCCCUAGUCUGCCCCACAGAGUCUCCAGUGGUCCAAGCAACAGGGAUGAGAGAUUGGAACUGAAGCCUCAGAAAUAAUGAUCUACGAUUAAUCCCCUUAUUGCAUGAUUACCUCAGUUUCACCCAUAGGGGAAAAGAAAAAAUCGCUCACUUUCACACGGGAAAGGCAGUGGUGCCCAUUUACUAUCUAGCGUGAGGAUUACUUUGACUCUCUCUUCUCCAUCCUGGUAUGAUCCGUGGGACAUUUGAGUCUCUUGAUGUUCCACGGUGUCUCAAAGCUCCCACUGGACGAAUGUCACUAUGCACAUGAGACCCACAGUGCAAGAAGUGGCAAUGACUGGAUGCACAGUAAGCCACAGAGGUGGUUGACAGUGGGAAAGAAACCCUAGAUGGACUUGUCGGCCUGCCCCGUUGACGGCGUUCCUAGUGGUCUGAAGCGUCCUGAAGCGUGGCCUUCAAAAUGAAGCUCAAGCUAUUGCAUGUUACACCUGCCACAGAGAAAGAGGCAUGGGGCCUUCGCAGACCUGUGGAUUUGGAGACAACCUACAUUCUGUGUUAGGGAUAGUGCUCUAACUAACCCACAUGGCAGUGGCUUGGAAGGCUGCCAACUAUGAGGCUCUGCAACUGGUCUGGACUGCAGUUGUAGCUGCUGUUUGCCAUUUUACACUAUGUAACUCAAAAUACAGCAGAGCCAAAGGAGGCCAUGGCACAUCCGGCCUCCUCUAGAUGACGCCACUAAACAGAGCCCAUAGUAGUCCACACUAAACUACACUGGGCGCUGGGAAGUCCUGUGUAGUCCCUUGCCCAGAAACACUCAGGGUAUAUGGACUCCACUCAACACAAGAGUUUCUUGAAAUGGCCUCCUCCUCCUCUAGCUUGGAGGCCGGGGAGGAUACAUGCUGGGGCAUGAGAGGAUGUGAUCCCAUCGGACGAUUUUUUUGUUUGUUUGUUCUGCAAAGCUAGCCCCAUCUCUCCAGGAUCAGAUCUCAAAACAGGUAAGGGUACAGCCAUCCUAGAAACAGUUCUGCACAUGGUGACCUGGAUUCAGACCUUCUGUGCCUUGCUAUCUCUGUUAAUACCUUAAUAAAAAAUUCCCUUUUUUGUAUUUAUUUUAUGUACGUCUGGGUACCACAUAUGUGCAGUGCCUGAAAAUGCCACAAGAGGGCGUCAUAUCCAGUAGGACUAUGUGAGUCAACGUUAGAACUUUUACCUAGCAUUUACAACCACACACACACACACACACACACACACACACACACACACACACACACACACACACACAAUAGCAGGCCACCUGCUGCGCUAGGAUGAACAAAAGAUGGAAACCUCAACUGAGCACUUAAAACACCUGCUGGGUUCUUCUGAGAUUGGUCGGAUUACUGAGACUCAUCCUAUGGCUGAAGAAACUGAGACUUGGCUCAGGGACUCAUUCAGCAUCACACAACUAACUGCUCCAUUUAGUUCAACCAGUGUUAGCUGAGCUCUACUAUGCGUUAGGUGUGACACAUACCCUCGUCAAGGCCGGGUUCCCAAAGCAGAGGGGUUUAGAGGUUCAUGAAGGUCUGAUGAUGAGGGUGGCAGCACCAUCAGUGAAGUAAUCUUCUUGUAGGUUGCUGUAGAGAUAAAGAGGUGGGGCUUAGUUGGAGGAAGUAGGUCUGUGGGGACAUGCCCUGGAAGACAAACUUUGUCCCUGUGCCCUUUCUGUCUCUCCUGCUUCUGAGCCACCAUAGGAAGAACAUCUCUUCUCAUCUUGUUGCUCUGCCUCACAGCAGCCUAGAAAUAAUGGAGACUGUGCUCCAAAACAGGUCACCCUCCUUUUGGGUCUACUCUGCUCUGAAAUGCUAGCACUAGUGUCUUCCAGGCUAGACAGCAAGUAUAGAACCAAUAAAAUCUUCAUCUUCAGGGAGACCACGAUUUCUUGGGCCAUGGGCAGGCCUGUGUGGUAAGGAUUAGGCUUCGGUCUGAGGUAACUACAAACCACAUUCUUUCCUAUGAAAAGCCAAAUCUUCCUUCAAUUCAGCAUGUGCAGUAGUUUAGGGAUUUUGCUGUUUUUGUGUGUACCAACAUUUCAAUAUUUUCAUAGCAGCCCUGGCCCCGCUCCCUGGUCUCUACAGCACAGGUGUUGCUCCUCAGAUAUCCCAGAGCUGCUUCAUCUAAGUGACCAGAAGCUGUCCCUGUCUCGGGAGACUUUUGCCCUUGGUGCCACCAGUCAGUCUCGAAGCUCAGCAGCCCUUCAGAAAAGAGAAGGCUGGCCCCCGGCCUCAGCAGAUCCACCUUCCCGUGGCCCCGAGUCCUUCUAGCCCUGCUUUCUGCAGUAUUUAUAGCUCCAGUGGGAAGGGUUGGAGUGCCCUCAUUCUAUGUUGUUUUUUUUCUUCUUGAAAUAUAGGCUCAGGCCACCCUUCUAUUAACUCAGCUUUGGAUAACGAUGACAGUAAGACAACUCCUCCAGGCUCUGGGACCUGAAUGGCUG